AUUGAACGCUGGCGGCAUGCUUUACACAUGCAAGUCGAACGGUAACAGGGAGCUCGCUCCGCUGACGAGUGGCGAACGGGUGAGUAAUGCAUCGGAACGUACCCAGUCGUGGGGGAUAACGUAGCGAAAGUUACGCUAAUACCGCAUACGUCCUGAGGGAGAAAGCGGGGGACCGUAAGGCUUCGCGCGAUUGGAGCGGCCGAUGUCGGAUUAGCUAGUUGGUAGGGUAAAGGCCUACCAAGGCGACGAUCCGUAGCGGGUCUGAGAGGAUGAUCCGCCACACUGGGACUGAGACACGGCCCAGACUCCUACGGGAGGCAGCAGUGGGGAAUUUUGGACAAUGGGCGAAAGCCUGAUCCAGCCAUGCCGCGUGAGUGAAGAAGGCCUCGGUUGUAAAGACUCUUUCAGCCGGAAAGAAAUACGCGC
This 426-nucleotide ribosomal RNA is filed under the name uncultured bacterium. RNAcentral describes it as "bacterial SSU rRNA". It matches the Rfam family "Bacterial small subunit ribosomal RNA", at positions 30 to 457 of the family's 1533-position model. The record is from RNAcentral.